CCAUAAGAUAUGAAAGUAGAACCUUAAGUGGUAUGGAACUGAUAAGGGUGUAGCCUGAACUGGACGGGGCGUACCCCCGAACUGGACAGGGCAUACCCCGAAUUGGGCAGAGUGUGCCCCCAAGCUGGACAGUGUGAUAAGUCUGAACCACUACCACGAACAUCCAGCUAGAAUAGUAUAAAAGGAGCUGAAGACCCCAAGCAAGUCGAUGAUUCAUCCCACUGACCAGUCGACCAGUCAAUUUGAUGAUCUGACUACUGACCAACACAUCGGCACACCUGAUCCCGCUGGGAGGAGCAUCGCCGCCGACCAGACGAGACCAGAGGACGAGGCAAGCGGAGAGGCGUAUAGCCUAGUGCCGACUCGAAGCCCUUCGUCUACGGAUCAGACCCUCUGACCCCGCGGGAGGAAACGUUGCGCUCCCAUUAAGGACUUGCGCAGUACAGCUCUCUGCUUGAACACUCAGCGCAGGAACGGUCCAGAUGGUGGCUGGUGAUUUACCUGACAAAGAAGACUGUGAGCCUCCAAAACGACUCCUCCCAGCUGGGCCCGGGCACCACAUCUGCACACAAGGGCAGCAGGUGAUGAGGAAGGGUCACGUUGAGGGUGAAGCGGAAUUCCAGGUCUGCGGCAGUCACCAGCAUUAGCUCCCGAAUGACCCAGGAAGAGGUAAAGUCAGGAGUAAACCUGGUAACAGCAGGCAGCGGCAGACCUGCACUGGACUGGAACACACCCAGCUGCAGAGCCACCGCAGGCUCGCUGGUGCGGAGAAACCCUCACACCUUCCGGAUCACAGAAGCGGUCCGUGUGCUGCGCAUACAGCAGGAGAAACUGAGCCCCAGCCUCCUCACUGCACUCUGACUGGCACAGGAAGUCAGCUACGAGCUGAACAGACAGAGACGGAGACUGAGACUGAUUUAGGCAGAUGCGUCAGCCACAGGGACACACUUACCGGAUCAGUAUGAGUGAGGAGUACGUAAUCUGAGCUACACUGCCAGGCCCUCAUCAACCUAUCUGCAUUUGUUUAUCCUGAUGAGUUCACGCCAAUAAACAGUUCCCAAGUUGCAGCUGAGACAUAUAGGGAGCGGCUGCAGGACAACCUGACAUGAAAGCUGGAAAGGAAUUUGCUUCCUGGCUUGGAAGAAACUGGGACGUAAAGCCUUCUAUACAAAGAUGCCUUGAAUGUAAAACCAUUAACCAGAAAAGAGACCAGGAAGUCUGCUCAAAUCCCACAGCAAUCAGAUGAGACCACCCAUUCACUGUUGGACCACCCCAAGAUCACUUUAAUAUUCAAUUUAAACUUAUAUGGAAACCAUAUUUUCACUUGUAGUCUCUCCAAUCAGCCUGGGAAAUGUGCUUUUAUUCAUGCGCUUCUUCCUUUUCUCCAAAAGCAUUUCUGAGUAAAGCAUUCUGCUCUAAA
Non-coding RNA from Heterocephalus glaber (naked mole-rat), 1420 nucleotides. The record is from RefSeq and is a predicted model, not a curated record. NCBI's taxonomy places the organism in Eukaryota, Metazoa, Chordata, Mammalia, Rodentia, Bathyergidae.